RNAcentral lists this ribosomal RNA (253 nucleotides) under uncultured bacterium. RNAcentral describes it as "partial 16S ribosomal RNA". It matches the Rfam family "Bacterial small subunit ribosomal RNA", at positions 524 to 776 of the family's 1533-position model. The record is from RNAcentral.
UACGUAGGGCGCAAGCGUUGUCCGGAAUUAUUGGGCGUAAAGAGCUCGUAGGCGGUCUGUCGCGUCGAAUGUGAAAACCCGGGGCUCAACCCCGGGCCUGCAUUCGAUACGGGCAGGCUAGAGUUCGGUAGGGGAGUCUGGAAUUCCUGGUGUAGCGGUGAAAUGCGCAGAUAUCAGGAGGAACACCGGUGGCGAAGGCGGGACUCUGGGCCGAUACUGACGCUGAGGAGCGAAAGCGUGGGGAGCAAACAGG